GGAUUCCCCUAGUAACGGCGAGUGAAGCGGGAAGAGCUCAAAUUUGUAAUCUGGCAGUCUACUGCCCGAGUUGUAAUCUAUAGAAGCGUUUUCCGUGCUGGCCCAUGUAUAAGUGCCUUGGAACAGGCCAUCAUAGAGGGUGAGAAUCCCGUCCUUGACAUGGAUCGCCAGCGCACUGUGAUACGCUCUCGAAGAGUCGAGUUGUUUGGGAAUGCAGCUCAAAAUGGGUGGUAAAUUCCAUCUAAAGCUAAAUAUAGGCGAGAGACCGAUAGCGAACAAGUACCGUGAGGGAAAGAUGAAAAGCACUUUGGAAAGAGAGUUAAACAGUAUGUGAAAUUGUUGAAAGGGAAACGAUUGAAGUCAGUCGUGUUCUUUGGACUCAACCGGUUCUUCCGGCUCACUUCCAUCGAACGGGGUCAACAUCAGUUCUGUCCGCCGGAUAAGGGCAAGGGGAAGGUAGCACCUCCGGGUGAACUUAUAGCCCCUUGUCGCAUACGGUGGUCGGGACUGAGGAACGCAGCUUGCCUUCAUGGCCGGGGUUCGCCCACGUACAAGCUUAGGAUGUUGACAUAAUGGCUUUA
Molecule: small RNA, 581 nt
Filed under: Cryptococcus sp. FMR 9111
Lineage: Eukaryota; Fungi; Basidiomycota; Tremellomycetes; Tremellales; Cryptococcaceae
Description: eukaryotic LSU rRNA
Rfam family: Eukaryotic large subunit ribosomal RNA
Source: RNAcentral